UGCCAGCCGCCGCGGUAAUACGGGGGGUGCAAGCGUUAAUCGGAAUUACUGGGCGUAAAGCGUGCGUAGGCGGAUUAUUAAGUCAGAUGUGAAAGCCCCGGGCUUAACCUGGGAACUGCAUUUGAAACUGGUAAACUAGAGUAUGGUAGAGGAAAGUGGAAUUUCUGGUGUAGCGGUGAAAUGCGUAGAUAUCAGAAGGAACAUCAAUGGCGAAGGCAGCUUUCUGGACCAAUACUGACGCUCAUGCACGAAAGCGUGGGGAGCAAACAGGAUUAGAUA
Molecule: ribosomal RNA, 279 nt
Filed under: uncultured bacterium
Lineage: Bacteria
Description: partial 16S ribosomal RNA
Rfam family: Bacterial small subunit ribosomal RNA
Source: RNAcentral